This 253-nucleotide ribosomal RNA is filed under the name uncultured bacterium. Its description in RNAcentral is "partial 16S ribosomal RNA". It matches the Rfam family "Bacterial small subunit ribosomal RNA", at positions 524 to 776 of the family's 1533-position model. The record is from RNAcentral.
UACGUAGGUGUCGAGCGUUGUCCGGAUUUACUGGGCGUAAAGGGAGCGUAGGCGGACUUUUAAGUGAGAUGUGAAAUACUCGGGCUCAACUUGAGUGCUGCAUUUCAAACUGGAAGUCUAGAGUGCAGGAGAGGAGAAUGGAAUUCCUAGUGUAGCGGUGAAAUGCGUAGAGAUUAGGAAGAACACCAGUGGCGAAGGCGAUUCUCUGGACUGUGACUGACGCUGAGGCUCGAAAGCGUGGGGAGCAAACAGG